GAGCCUUGANYUCUUAAUGGCGCAACUAACGCAUUAASUUGACCGCCUGGGGAGUACGGCCGCNWGGUUAAAACUCAMAGGAAUUGACGGGACNGCCNCCNCKGUAAUACUUAGGGGGUAAGCGUUGUCCSGAUUUACUGAGGUGUAUANGNCGCGUANGCNGAUCUGUAAUUCACUGGUGAAAUCCUACASCUUAACUGUAGAACUGCCCUUGAUACUGCAGAUCUCGAGUUCGGAAGAGAGAGAUGGAAUUCCAGGUGUAGUGGUGAAAUACNUAGAUAUCUGGAAGAACACCANUGGCGAAAGCGGUCUCUUGGUCCGUAACUGACGCUGAGGCGCGAAAGCGUGGGUAGCAAACAGGAUUAGAUACCCUGGUAGUCCACGCCGUAAACRAUGAAUACUASGUGUUGGGUUUUUUAACCCAGUGCCRCAAGCUAACNCAUUAAGUAUUCCACCUGGGGAGUAC
Molecule: ribosomal RNA, 466 nt
Filed under: uncultured bacterium
Lineage: Bacteria
Description: partial 16S ribosomal RNA
Rfam family: Bacterial small subunit ribosomal RNA
Source: RNAcentral